Molecule: transfer RNA, 74 nt
Filed under: Candidatus Heimdallarchaeota archaeon LC_3
Lineage: Archaea; Promethearchaeati; Candidatus Heimdallarchaeota
Description: tRNA-Pro
Rfam family: tRNA
About the family: Transfer RNA (tRNA) molecules are approximately 80 nucleotides in length.
Source: RNAcentral
GGCUGGGUGGUCUAGCUUGGUAUGAUUCCCGCUUUGGGAGUGGGGGAUCGGGGGUUCAAAUCCCUUCCCAGUCA